CUGAAGAAUAAACUGAAAAAUAAACAACCAAAACUGUUUCAAAUAUGAUAGGAGAAUGUUUUUAUUAACCAAUCAAUUUUGGAGAAAGUUUAGAGCAAUUGCAUCAGUUGCUCCAAGUUGUUCAAAAUUUACAAAAUUCUGAUAUGCCGCUUCAUAUACGUACUUCGCUCGUUUUUGUCGUGGAUUUCGCUAGUAAAUUAAAGUUUUGAAACAAAGAUGAAUUUUUUAGUUUCAAAUGUAAUUAAGGCUAGGUAUUUUCAAAAUAUAUGCAUAUAUAAAAAUUAGUUAACUAAAGAGUUGACAACUUUAAAUAACAAGUGUCCAAUGCAGCCAUAUAGUCAGUCUUGAAAAUUCUGAAAUUGGUUGUUUAUCCGGAAGCCAGACGAUAGUAAAGAUUAUGGUGCUUUAAGUACUAAAACAUCAUCUACAUAUCUAUUAUGAGUUUUACAUUCAUCUCUCGUAUUUGGUGGUUGUCUGGUUAGGGGGGGGGGGUCAUACGCCCCUCCCAUAAUAGAAACACCACUUGUUUACGUAAGAUCUUGUAUAACAUAAUUUUAUAUUGUAUUCUAGUUUUACUCAUUUUAGUAAAGAUAAAUAUUUAUAAAA
Molecule: non-coding RNA, 606 nt
Organism: Hydra vulgaris (swiftwater hydra)
Lineage: Eukaryota; Metazoa; Cnidaria; Hydrozoa; Anthoathecata; Hydridae
Source: RefSeq, a predicted model, not a curated record